This is an RNA transcript of Fragaria vesca subsp. vesca, 731 nucleotides long. RefSeq lists it as uncharacterized. The record is from RefSeq and is a predicted model, not a curated record. The transcript is spliced from 2 exons. Lineage: Eukaryota; Viridiplantae; Streptophyta; Magnoliopsida; Rosales; Rosaceae.
CACAAGAUACAGUAAAGGACAAUAAUAUUAAAACCGGGUACACAGAACGAGAGAAAAAGACCCAGAAGAAGAUGAAGAAGCAGAAGCUGAAGAAGGUAGAGACGAUGCUGAAGUUGUUGUCUUGAGGGACCCAUUGGAGCUGUUCGGCAUGGACAUAAUGUGGAAUAUACUGAGCUUUGUUGAUGCACGCAGCGGAGUACUCUCCCUCCAAGGGCCUCCUUGUCUCCCAUGCCUGUAACGUCGUCGCUUCCAGCGAUCGCCUCUGGAGUUCCAAGGCCGCCCCAGAAUACUGGUGAAACCUUGAUCCUUAUUGGAAGGGAACUGGCUCCCUCAUGCACCGCUACUUUCAUCCUGAUGGCAGCCAAACUGCAGAUCAUAGUGAUGUAGUCUGGGGCAGCCAUGAAUCCUGUUAUUGCACCAUUACUAGUAUUCUUGAAAAUUGACCAAUGAGGGAACACUAUGUAAGGAUAAACAGAUGGCCGCAAAUGUUUGUGGUCAGAAAGCAGGACUGGAGCUGGGAAAUGUCCAAUCACCUCUUUUGCUACACAAGCAUUCUGGAUUCUGAUAAAGCAGAUGGGACUGGACCGCUAUUUGUAGUUAGAUAAAAUAAUUUUCUUCGUUGUACAGUUUGUAUGAGACAUGUUAGAAUUUUAUUAUCAUACUUAUCUAAGUAUCUAAGAAAUGAUUAAUGUUUAGUUGUGUAAGCAGUUUUGUAUUUUGUACAGAAUUUU